CCUACGGGAGGCAGCAGUGGGGAAUAUUGCACAAUGGGGGAAACCCUGAUGCAGCCAUGCCGCGUGUGUGAAGAAGGCCUUCGGGUUGUAAAGCACUUUCAGCAGUGAGGAAGGUAGUGUAGUUAAUAACUGCAUUGCUUGACGUUAGCUGCAGAAGAAGCACCGGCUAACUCCGUGCCAGCAGCCGCGGUAAUA
RNAcentral lists this ribosomal RNA (195 nucleotides) under uncultured Gammaproteobacteria bacterium. Its description in RNAcentral is "partial 16S ribosomal RNA". It matches the Rfam family "Bacterial small subunit ribosomal RNA", at positions 338 to 525 of the family's 1533-position model. Lineage: Bacteria; Pseudomonadati; Pseudomonadota; Gammaproteobacteria. The record is from RNAcentral.